UUUGUUAACACGCGUACGCUUGUUUUUCAGUUGGUACGUUUUAACAAUGUGUACCAGAUUAUAGUAGACAAAAAUACCAUCAUUUAUCAUGGAUUCUAAGUUUUAAGGUCAAGGAUAUUUAAAUAAUUUUCAUUCUCAAAACUAAAAAAAAAAAAAAAAACCCAAACCCUUACUCACCUCCCUCAUUCCUCUCAACCCUUUCUCUUUCAUCUCUCUCACUCCAACAUUUUCUCUGUCAUCUCUCUCACUCCAACAUUUUCUCUAUCAUCCCCACUGUUGCCCUAAUUGAAAAAAAAAAUCAGAAACCCUUUUUCAUCAGAGACAUUUUCUCUCUCAUCUCAACAUUUUCUCUGUCAUCACUCCAACAUUUUUUCUCUCAUCUCAACCCAAUUGAAGAUGGUGGUGGUAAUUUGAAUCAGAGAUAUUUUUUAAAAAUUGAAAAAGUUUACUCU
Molecule: long non-coding RNA, 452 nt
Filed under: Vigna radiata
Lineage: Eukaryota; Viridiplantae; Streptophyta; Magnoliopsida; Fabales; Fabaceae
Description: long non-coding RNA (VRAD_LNC018232)
Source: RNAcentral